Long non-coding RNA from Penaeus indicus, 154 nucleotides. RefSeq lists it as uncharacterized. The record is from RefSeq and is a predicted model, not a curated record. The transcript has 3 exons. NCBI's taxonomy places the organism in Eukaryota, Metazoa, Arthropoda, Malacostraca, Decapoda, Penaeidae.
CACUCAAUAUGUCCAAAGUUUACCUGUGGUGCAGAAAGCUAAUGAAGUCAUCACUGAGUUCCAUGAGGCUGUUGCAGCUGCCCCACUGUAUAGGAGAUUGUCUGGAGCUUUUGUGGAACUAGGCGAUGCCAUUUAUCAACAACCAGUGUGAGUA